GUUUGUUUGUCAUCAUUCUUCAUCUGCCAAUUAUCUGGUUUAACACGAUUUCAUUACAUAGGCUACUAGCAUGCCUGUGGAUUGGUUGAUUUCCUCUGACUGCUUAACAGACAUUUGAAGGAAACGGGACAGACUUCUGUGUCUAGGAUUUAUCUCCUUUAAAAAAAUAUUUACUUUGCUUGAAAUGACACUUAAUGUCAAUGCAACAUGUAAACAAUCCUCUCCUCACCCAUAAGUGUUUUGAAACUUUAAAAUGUCUAAAGUCAUUCAUUUAAUAGCAAACAAAAGUCGAUUUAUCCCUUCUCCAUUCUCUUCUUCUCAGAAACAUCUAGGACAGACAGGUCGGCGGGCGUUAGUUGACCGACCAACACUUUCGACUGCGCCAGCAUCUGUCCCCUUAAAUGCAGGAGGGACAAUCAUCUCCCAGCACCUCCACUAUCAAGAGGUUUUAUUCCUGCAGAUGCUGAAGAAGUUCAACCUGCCGCAGAAAAUGAUGGUCAAGUUGUACAUCAUGGAGUCCAUCAACAUCCUUAUAUUGUGAUGCUUUGUCUUUUAUUCUGCAACCUAACCAUUCACCCUCCGUGAAUGUGCAAGGAAUUCAGAUUAUUUUCAACGUUCUGUAAACGAUGUGACAUUGAAUCCAUUAAAAGAUGCUCCCCCCAGAUCUGGCAUGUCAGCGGUUUUUGAACACUGAUUAAUUGUGAAAUGUGAAAAUGCCCUAUUUUUUGGAUUGGAUUGAAUCAAUAUAGGAAAUAGAGGAUUGGAUUUUUAAGACUCAUGCAAUAGAGAAAAAAAUCUGGAUUGAAAAAUAACAAUUCAUUUCAGAAAUGAGAAGGUUCAGUACAUUUUAAUCGCACAGCAUUAAAUCAGUCUGGUGUUAUGUUACAAGCGCUGCUCACAAAACAAGUUUGAGCUGUUUCAAAUAACUCAGAUGGUGCCUUGGCUGUGAAGGCAUUACUGAAUGAAUGUUGUAUACUUAGCUGUAUGGUUUACUAUUUUUUUGUUUUACAAUGUCCACCUAACCCUUCAGAAGAUGCAUCAGUGGAAAAAAAAGCUCCUGCAACACCUUUUAGUAGCGAUAGAAAUAAAUGGGGAAUUUUUGUGCACCACAGCAAAGCCAUUACAUUCCACAAGUUUUUUGUGUGGAUUUAAACACACAAGACCCACCGUUUGGGUGGACUUGAAUAUAGCAUGCCUUUCAGUGAACCACAAAAUUUUCACCUUUUAAAAAUGUGGUUGAAUUAUGUUUUUACAACAUGCUAAUUUCUGAACAAUCAAUACAAGAUCUACAAUGUAUUACACUAUUCCUAUAAUACUGUGAAGCUUAGGAUGAGCCAAUGACCAUUUGGAGCUGAAUGUGUGGAACAAUUGACUGAUAACUUGCUAGGAAAUGCAUACGGUUUCAGAAUAAAUGUAUCAAAAAGAAAAGACUUGUUUGUUUUCUAAAACAUACUACUAAUGGCUUAACUUGACGUUUACAGAGAACACAUUAUUUCGGUAGAACAUUGCCAAAUCAACACCAGUACAUUGUCAAUAACAUUCAUAUUUUAAGAAUUGUAAAAUAACUUAUUUCAGAUAAUGAGAAAAACAAAUAUGUAAAUAUUUCUACUUUACGUUAAUACAAAAUUGUAAGUUAAGCUUUUUCAACAAUAAUUCUCAACACAUUCUCAACGUCUGACUUCAAAAAGAAAACGCGUCUUCAGUCGUUUGAGAUGCCGGUGAGGUGCUUCCUGUUGUGGUGGUUGAUCUUGUAUUCAUCCCCAUCAGCAUGGUCCUCACCUGGGGCUUCCCUGGCCAUUCAGGGAGCAGAUACUUCCAUUAACCAGCACCGAGGUGUAACCAUUACACAUGCUCUCUAUACUUGGCAGCAACGGGCAGAUUAAUGUCAUGUAUGUAAUGGUCUAAAAUGCAGCGACAUUUGUGAUUCUUUUAUCGUUGUGGUCAAGGACAACCUCUUUGACCAUUUACCCUGCUGAUAAAUAUUACUUUUGAAAGGUCGGAACCCGGUUGGAGUAUUUUCAUUUGACCAAAUUGGGAGCACUGUUAACUGAACCCACCGUCUCCGUGGCCCCGGCCGGCCCUACGAGUCUGGGAGUUCUGCUAUCUGCAAGGGCCUCGUCCAAAGUAGAGUGAGCCCUGAAAAGAGGGUGUGUUUAUACAUCUGUUUGCCCGCAAUGCUAAAUUAGAGAGGCAUACUACAAAACAAAUAGACUAAUUAUUAAUUGUUUGAAUCAGUGGAUAUUCCAUAAAUAGACAGGACUAUUUCCUUGAUUUCUGUUUCACUGUAUAAUGCUUAAAGAUCCCAUAUCAUAUUUUUUUUAGGGUUAAUAAUUGCAUUUGGUGGUACUACUAGAAUAGGGUUACAUGCCAGUAUGUUAGAAAUACCCCUUAUUAUUCUCACAUUUUUAAUUUCUGCAAAACCAAUUUUCCCCAUUAAAAACAUCUUAUCAAAACUGAUUUGUAUCAUAUUCCAUUAAGGCCCCCUCCUGAGUAGCCCAGUCUGCUGUGAUUUGCCAGCACGCCCACACCGCUGUGAUUGGUCGAACGCUUUGCGCGUGUGUUUGGCAAAUUCCCACUCCUGAGAAGUCAUAAACAUUGCGGGUAGCCGGGAGGGGCGACUUUUGCACUAAAGCACCGCCAACUGCACACUUAUUGAGGGGCGUUCUCGGUGGUCGCAAAUACUUCCCCUGGCUCAGAGUCAGAUUUGUCUAGCUUAGCAGACGUAAAAC
This 2729-nucleotide long non-coding RNA is filed under the name Gadus morhua (Atlantic cod). RNAcentral's name for it is "lncRNA (ENSGMOG00000024747.1)". The record is from RNAcentral. Lineage: Eukaryota; Metazoa; Chordata; Actinopteri; Gadiformes; Gadidae.